CCUACGGGUGGCAGCAGUGGGGAAUAUUGCACAAUGGGGGAAACCCUGAUGCAGCAACGCCGCGUGAGCGAUGAAGGCCUUCGGGUCGUAAAGCUCUGUCCUAAGGGAAGAAUACUUACGGUACCUUAGGAGGAAGCCCCGGCUAACUACGUGCCAGCAGCCGCGGUAAUACGUAGGGGGCUAGCGUUAUCCGGAAUUACUGGGGGUAAAGGGUGCGUAGGCGGCCCUUCAAGUCAGAGGUGAAAGGCUACGGCCCAACCGUAGUAAGCCGUUGAAACUGUAGGGCUUGGGUGCAGGUGAGGCGGGAGGAAUUCGAAGUGAAGCGCUGAAAUCCGUGGAUAUUGGGAGGAAAAACAGUUGCGAAGGCGGGUCUAUGGACUGUCACUGACGAUGAGGGACGAAAGCGUGGGGAGCGAACAGGAUUAGCUACACGUGUAGUC
Molecule: ribosomal RNA, 440 nt
Filed under: uncultured bacterium
Lineage: Bacteria
Description: bacterial SSU rRNA
Rfam family: Bacterial small subunit ribosomal RNA
Source: RNAcentral